CCUUGCUUUUGUUUUGUUGAACGCUGACUAGUAAUGUGGUUGAGGUGAGAAGACAUGCAUUGAAACGAAGUUACAAAAACUGUUUGUUGGGAGAUCAUUCGUGCUGUUUUUUAGCAGGCACUAUUCAGUGAUUUGGGUGGACACUCUUAUAGCUUCCUGUCAACCAGACUUAUUGCAGGUUAACUUUGUUCUCCAGCUUUGGUCAUCAUUGCUUGCUUUGCAAGGUGUGGCAUGACUGCCUUUCUUCUGAAAAAAGAAGUUUCAGCAGAAACUUGUGUAACAUAUUCUCUUUGCUACAUUGUAAACAUUUCUUUUGAAUUUUUUUGAAUAUUAUAAAAGUAUGGAAUUUCCCAGCUAUCAGUUCUAUCUUUUUUUUUUCUUUUAAUUAUCACAUUGUGUUUGCAAGAGACGGUUUGAUUGGUGUGAAGUGGAGGGGAUGCUCUUUGCUUUCCAUUGACGAAGUAACUGUCAGUAAUCAUAAUGCUUCAAGCAUCAAAGCAAGCAGGUUGAGGAGGUUUCCUGUGUACACUGGAAUUUAUAGAUCUUCAAUUAGGUGUUCCUUCUGGCUCGUUUAAGCUUUGGGCCCCCCCCUCCGCAGUGGGGUUUAUGGCUACGUAGCUGCAUCCGGCUUGGCUUACAUGCUUGAUGCUCGCACGUCUUUAUGAAGAAUGGCGUAAAAAUUGCCUGUAAAUUGUUAAUAAACUAAUUUUUUAAGUUUCUUUCUGAAUAUUGUUAUUCAACCGACCCUCGAUAGUCUCUCCUGUUUCUUUAUGAAUGCUGUCGUUGUUCCUAAGGAAAUAAAGCAGGCUGGCAGAACCCCCACACGUUUGCUGUCGUGUGCACAUGAUCAAUUUCUUUUUCUUGUAGCAUGUUCAGUGCAAUGAGGGCUUUAAAAUGAAGUUAGUGAUGUUGGUUACGAGCUGGAUGAUGAUGAUGCAUUAUCUGACCUUAAAUUAAUGUUCUUGUAAA
Juglans regia (Persian walnut) is the source of this 969-nucleotide long non-coding RNA. RefSeq lists it as uncharacterized. The record is from RefSeq and is a predicted model, not a curated record. NCBI's taxonomy places the organism in Eukaryota, Viridiplantae, Streptophyta, Magnoliopsida, Fagales, Juglandaceae. The transcript is spliced from 3 exons.